Molecule: ribosomal RNA, 414 nt
Filed under: uncultured bacterium
Lineage: Bacteria
Description: bacterial SSU rRNA
Rfam family: Bacterial small subunit ribosomal RNA
Source: RNAcentral
UGAGGAAUAUUGGUCAAUGGGUGCAAGCCUGAACCAGCCAUCCCGCGUGAAGGACGACUGCCCUAUGGGUUGUAAACUUCUUUUGUAUAGGGAUAAACCUACCCUCGUGAGGGUAGCUGAAGGUACUAUACGAAUAAGCACCGGCUAACUCCGUGCCAGCAGCCGCGGUAAUACGGAGGGUGCAAGCGUUAUCCGGAUUUAUUGGGUUUAAAGGGUCCGUAGGCGGACUUAUAAGUCAGUGGUGAAAGCCUGUCGCUUAACGAUAGAACUGCCAUUGAUACUGUAAGUCUUGAGUAUAUUUGAGGUAGCUGGAAUAAGUAGUGUAGCGGUGAAAUGCAUAGAUAGUACUUAGAACACCAAUUGCGAAGGCAGGUUACCAAGAUAUAACUGACGCUGAGGGACGAAAGCGUGGGG